CUAGACCACAAGCGUUAUCCGGAUUUAUUGGGCGUAAAGAGCAUGUAGGAGGUUCGGUGCGUNNUNNGNUNAAAGCCCACCGCCUAACGGUGGAAGUGCCGGAGAUACGAUCGAACUGGAGGAUGUGAGAGGUGCAUGGAACUCACGGUGUAGGGGUGAAAUCCGUUGAUAUCGUGGGGAACACCAAAGGCGAAGGCAGUGCACUGGUACAUUCCUGACUCUGAGAUGCGAAAGCGUGGGGAGCAAAAAGGAUUAGAUACCCUUGUAGUCCACGCCCUAAACGAUGCAGGUUUGCUGUUUCGAGUAUCGACCCUCGGAGUGGCGGAGCUAACGCGUUAAACCUGCCGCCUGGGAAGUACGAUCGCAAGAUUA
Molecule: ribosomal RNA, 372 nt
Filed under: uncultured bacterium
Lineage: Bacteria
Description: bacterial SSU rRNA
Rfam family: Bacterial small subunit ribosomal RNA
Source: RNAcentral